Molecule: ribosomal RNA, 253 nt
Filed under: uncultured bacterium
Lineage: Bacteria
Description: partial 16S ribosomal RNA
Rfam family: Bacterial small subunit ribosomal RNA
Source: RNAcentral
UACGAGGGGGGCUAGCGUUGCUCGGAAUCACUGGGCGUAAAGGGUGCGUAGGCGGGUCUUUAAGUCAGGGGUGAAAUCCUGGAGCUCAACUCCAGAACUGCCUUUGAUACUGAAGAUCUUGAGUUCGGGAGAGGUGAGUGGAACUGCGAGUGUAGAGGUGAAAUUCGUAGAUAUUCGCAAGAACACCAGUGGCGAAGGCGGCUCACUGGCCCGAUACUGACGCUGAGGUGCGAAAGCGUGGGGAGCAAACAGG